This 503-nucleotide ribosomal RNA is filed under the name uncultured bacterium. Its description in RNAcentral is "partial 16S ribosomal RNA". It matches the Rfam family "Bacterial small subunit ribosomal RNA", at positions 30 to 523 of the family's 1533-position model. The record is from RNAcentral.
AUUGAACGCUGGCGGCAGGCUUAACACAUGCAAGUCGAGCGGGGUGAUGGUGCUUGCACUAUCACUUAGCGGCGGACGGGUGAGUAAUGCUUAGGAAUCUGCCUAUUAGUGGGGGACAACAUCUCGAAAGGGAUGCUAAUACCGCAUACGUCCUACGGGAGAAAGCAGGGGAUCACUUGUGACCUUGUGCUAAUAGAUGAGCCUAAGUCGGAUUAGCUAGUUGGUGGGGUAAAGGCCUACCAAGGGGACGAUCUGUAGCGGGUCUGAGAGGAUGAUCCGCCAAACUGGGCCUGGGCCACGGCCCAGACUCCUACGGGGGGCAGCAGUGGGGAAUAUUGGACAAUGGGGGGAACCCUGAUCCAGCCAUGCCGCGUGUGUGAAGAAGGCCUUAUGGUUGUAAAGCACUUUAAGCGAGGAGGAGGCUUACCUAGUUAAUACCUGGGAUAAGUGGACGUUACUCGCAGAAUAAGCACCGGCUAACUCUGUGCCAGCCGCCGCAGUAA